Molecule: long non-coding RNA, 1417 nt
Filed under: Ficedula albicollis (Collared flycatcher)
Lineage: Eukaryota; Metazoa; Chordata; Aves; Passeriformes; Muscicapidae
Description: lncRNA (ENSFALG00000027541.1)
Source: RNAcentral
CAAGGAGCUGCACCCUCCCUAGUUACAAACCUCCCUCCAAGGUUUUGUAGUGAAUGAACAUUCUAGAUUUACACCAGGAUGCUCACACGUAAGGAAAUGCUUCUGCUUCCAAGAUCUACCUGUUGUGCUCCAUUCCAUGCCCUGAGAUCUCCUCAGCGCUGACCUGCUGCCUCCCCACAAACAGCCCUGCAGCCUCUGGAACGCUCCCAAGUGUCCAUGCUAAACACAGUGAUUCACUGCACCGUGCUCAUAAUGGGCAAGAAAAGAGGCUUUUGAGUUCUGUAACCCAUAACAACUUUGAAAAGAACAAAGGGCCUCUCCAAAGUCACUGGAGUUAAUGGGCUCUUUUCACUCCAGCCCAACCUGGUCUGAAUAUCUGAACCGGGAGCUGCUGCCAUCUCAGGCAGCUCUGGCUGUGGCGAGAGCUGCUGCUCAUUUCCUGUUACCCCUAAUGAAACAAAAUCACGGCAGGUUAAAGAAAGGCACAGACGCUCUGUGGAGUGUGAUGCUUGGUCCCAAGCUGGGGCUGAGCACGGCCCUGCAGCCCCCAGGAGAUUUUCCAGUGCAGCAUUUCCUCAUGAGAUCUGUCAGCCCUGAAAUGCUUUGUGGGGAUGUGCUGGUUCAAGCCCAUCUUGUGAGGAGCCCCAGCAGUUUUUUGACAGACACCUCUGCACCCUUGCACAUUCCUGCAGUGCCUCAGCAGCUCCCACCCCACAGCAAUGUCCCACACCCUGCAUGGACAGCACACGUCUCAGGUACUGAGACAGUCCAUCAAUUUAGUUCAUUAUGAGGGGAAAAACAAAUGCAUCCAAAAUUGAUGAAAUAUUCCAGACAAUAAAAUUUUUAGAAGUACUGUGUGUUCAUUUUAAUAGUUUAUGAAUUUGUAGUGGCUGAUCUCUCCCUAUUUUUACUCUCAUAAACCAUUCAGACAACAACUGUUACACAUAUUUCCUUAACACUGUUCUAAUUUCAGCUCAUUUCACUGUUUUAUUUCAUAUUCCUCAACUAUCAUAUUUCAAAAUUUACGGUCUUGCACCAAAGGUCACAUAUGGCCACAUCUAAGUCCUCUAAGAUCUGUGAUUCUGAAACACUAAGCUGAUGUUGGUUUAAUUGAUUCUGUGGAAGCAGCGAUGCCUGUAGCUCCUGAGAAUUAGGGCUUUCCACAAACUGGCAAACUUUCAGUGGGUAAAAUAAAUAUCCUCAUGUCCAUGUGAUGGAGGGUCUAUGCACAGCACGCAGUUAUAUCAACACACCUCUCUAAUGAUGCACUUCAGAUUAAAUACUGGGUCCUAAGAGCCAAAGGAUCACGGUGUGUGGGGCACAAGCCAAACAAAUGCCAGUAACACGUCCCAGCCGUUCCCUCUCUUGGGAGCAGCUGCUCCAAAGUCUGAAGGUUCCAUCAGGAGGGUUAAAGGGG